CCUACGGGUGGCUGCAGUGGGGAACAUUGGGCAAUGGGCGCAACCCUGACCCAGCAAUGCCGCGUGAGGGAAGAAGUCUUUCGGGUUGUAAACUUCUUUGACAGGGGAAGAGCGGAAGACGGGACCCUGACAACAAACCACGGCUAACUACGUUCCAGCAGCCGCGGUAAUACGUAGGUGGCAAGCGUUGUCCGGAUUUACUGGGGGUAAAGGGCGUGUAGCCGGGAACGCAAGUCAGGUGUGAAAACGGGAGGCCCAACCCCCAGAUUGCAUUUGAAACUGUUUUACUUGAGUACUGGAGAGGCAGACGGAAUUCCUUGUGUAGCGGUGAAAUGCGUAGAUAUAAGGAGGAACACCAGUGGCGAAGGCGGUCUGCUGGACUGUAACUGACGGUGAGGCGCGAAAGCGUGGGGAGCAAACAGGAUUAGAUACCCGAGUAGUC
This 442-nucleotide ribosomal RNA is filed under the name uncultured bacterium. Its description in RNAcentral is "partial 16S ribosomal RNA". It matches the Rfam family "Bacterial small subunit ribosomal RNA", at positions 338 to 795 of the family's 1533-position model. The record is from RNAcentral.